CAGUAGCCACGGUAAUACGUAUGUCGCAAGCGUCAUCCGGAAUUAUUGGGCAUAAAGGGCAUCUAGGCGGCCCUGUAAGUCUAGGGUGAAAACCUGCGGCUCAACCGCAGGCCUGCCCCGGAAACUACAGGGCUAGAGUAUCGGAGAGGUGGACGGAACUGCACGAGUAGAGGUGAAAUUCGUAGAUAUGUGCAGGAAUGCCGAUGAUGAAGAUAGUUCACUGGACGGUAACUGGCGCUGAAGUGCGAAAGCUAGGGGAGCAAACAGGAUUAGAUACCCCAGUAGUCCCUGUCUCUUAUAC
RNAcentral lists this ribosomal RNA (301 nucleotides) under uncultured bacterium. Its description in RNAcentral is "partial 16S ribosomal RNA". It matches the Rfam family "Bacterial small subunit ribosomal RNA", at positions 509 to 807 of the family's 1533-position model. The record is from RNAcentral.